CAGUAGCCGCUGUAAUACGAAGGGGGCUAGCGUCGUUCGGAAUUACUGGGCGUAAAGCGCACGUAGGCGGAUAUUUAAGUCAGGGGUGAAAUCCCAGAGCUCAACUCUGGAACUGCCUUUGAUACUGGGUAUCUUGAGUAUGGAAGAGGUGAGUAGAAUUCCGAGUGUAGAGGUGAAAUUCGUAGAUAUUCGGAGGAACACCAGUGGCGAAGGCGGCUCACUGGUCUGUAACUGACGCUGAGGCGCGAAAGCCAGGGGAGCGAACGGGAUUAGAUACCCCAGUAGUCCCUGUCUCUUAUAC
This 301-nucleotide ribosomal RNA is filed under the name uncultured bacterium. Its description in RNAcentral is "partial 16S ribosomal RNA". It matches the Rfam family "Bacterial small subunit ribosomal RNA", at positions 509 to 807 of the family's 1533-position model. The record is from RNAcentral.